RNAcentral lists this long non-coding RNA (232 nucleotides) under Gallus gallus (chicken). The record is from RNAcentral. Lineage: Eukaryota; Metazoa; Chordata; Aves; Galliformes; Phasianidae.
GGUUGACAAGACAGAAGUUGAAAGUCUGCUUAGUGCAGAGCUUCAAACACCUCAAAAAAUACUUGAGGCCUUGCAAGAUAGAGGCAGAGCUGCAAACAAAUAUACUGCUAUGAAGAUUGGAGUUAAGGAAGUGUGGCCACUUUUCAUUAAAUGGAUAGUGUACAAGAAAAUUAGAUGACCGGGAAUCACCAGAAGAAGCAGAACUUGAGCUGACUUGUUAUUUACUCCUACA